This 297-nucleotide ribosomal RNA is filed under the name uncultured bacterium. RNAcentral's name for it is "partial 16S ribosomal RNA". It matches the Rfam family "Bacterial small subunit ribosomal RNA", at positions 789 to 1084 of the family's 1533-position model. The record is from RNAcentral.
GGUAGUCCACGCCGUAAACGAUGGGCACUAGGUGCUUGGGGGAGCGACCCCCUGGGUGCCGGCGCUAACGCAUGAAGUGCCCCGCCUGGGGAGUACGGCCGCAAGGCUGAAACUCAAAGGAAUUGACGGGGCCCGCACAAGCGGUGGAGCAUGUGGUUUAAUUCGACGCAACGCGAAGAACCUUACCUAGGCUUGACAUGCACGGGACGGCCUCCAGAAACGGGGGCUUCUCUUCGGAGUCCGUGCACAGGUGCUGCAUGGCUGUCGUCAGCUCGUGUCGUGAGAUGUUGGGUUAAG